RNAcentral lists this long non-coding RNA (1484 nucleotides) under Sus scrofa (pig). RNAcentral's name for it is "lncRNA (ENSSSCG00040063546.1, ENSSSCG00050005297.1)". Lineage: Eukaryota; Metazoa; Chordata; Mammalia; Artiodactyla; Suidae. The record is from RNAcentral.
UGUUUCACUAAAUUUUGAACUACCUCAAAGUACAAUAAACUAUGUGACUUCAUGCUAAAAGAUGAUACAUUUUGCCAAGCAUAUACUUUACCUCAAAAUUAACAAAAUAAAUAAUAAUCAUAAAGCUAUAGUAAGUUGAAUAGGACAAAAUGAAGAAAGAAAUGGUUCUGAUAAAACAUUCGUGAUUUUUUUAUGAAUCAGACACUAUGUUAUCUUAUUCAUUCUUUGCAAUAACUGUAAGAGGAAGGUAUUAUUAUAAUAUUUUUAUUGUAAAUCAAGAUCAAGUAAAUUUCCCAGGUCACACUAACUGACAGAUAAGGAAUUCACGCCCAGGUAUUUCUGUCUUUCUAUGAACAACAUAGCCCUGAAUGUACAGCUAAGGAAAAAGGCCACAGACGUUAUUGAUAUAAUAUCCAAGACAUCUCAUAACAGAUUGACCUCAAGCCAAUAAACAUAAAGACACUGAAGCUUGCAGUUAGCUUCCCCCCCCUCAGAUUUUCCUGAGGAGUUAGUUUCUUUUUCACUUUAUUUAUUUUAUAUAAAGCUAAGAGAUCACUUUUUAAAGCAUAAAACUGACAGGUAAAUGAGAAAAUUUCCAUGAUAGUUGAAAUUUUUAAGCAAUUUUGAAAACCAUACUUUUCCAAGUUGCUUUUUUUUUAAGCUAAAAAAGACAUUUUGUUAAUGGAUUCAACUCUGGAAACUGAAUCCUAAUUUUUUUCUGUUUUUUUGUUUGUUUGUCUGUAGUAUUUUUCUAUUACUGUUAGAUAAUGCACCAGAGUUUAUUUUUGGAGGCAAAGGUUAUGAGAUUGAUGGACUGGCCACAAUAAAGAACAAUCUCAUCUUGUGUCUUUAUAUAAAGGUUAUUUAUUCCUUGCUCUGGAUAUUAAGAUGGUCUCUCUCUCUCAAAGAAGACCGUACAUAUUGCACCAUUUCUACAUUAAAGCUGCAUCUUUACAGGAAACAGGCAGAUUGUUUAACCAAUGAUAUACCUGACUUCGUUCCAAGCCAAACAACACUGCCUUUUUAUUUUUGCCCAUGCCGCAGGCUAUCUGAAAGUAUUAGAGUUAAUGUGCAAUCAGGUAAGUAAACCCAUAUUACAUAUCUGUAAUUUUCCUCCAGUAGAAAGAAAAUAUUACAUUACAAGCCUCCAUAAUUGCAUUCAAAUGUAAUCAAAUACAAAAGUUUAAGAUCCCAAAUCCUUUGAGUUACAAGAUCUCUUUUUCUAUACAUUUAACCAAUCUUAUAGCUGCAAAAAGAAGUUGAAAUAAUUCUCAAGGCACUAAAAAAAAUAACAAGAUUGCCCUAUGCUGUAAUUGCCAGCCCCAGGCUCUAAUUCUUUUAUAGCACUGUCUGCAGCAGCCAUUUACGUGCUCAGGCAACAAAGCCCUGGACAGGGAUGCAUUUACAAAACAUGUAUUUGUAGCUAGGAAAAUAGCCAUUUGAAACUAAAUAAAGUUUCUUUGAUUGGGGUGUUGGGUGAAAAC